GGCGGUUCUUGGGUGGCACACCCCAGAAUCAGGCUUUCUCCUCUCUAGUUCUGAGUGUGUCACUUGAGAACUACA
Non-coding RNA from Myotis davidii, 75 nucleotides. The record is from Rfam. NCBI's taxonomy places the organism in Eukaryota, Metazoa, Chordata, Mammalia, Chiroptera, Vespertilionidae.